AAUUAGGAUCAUUUCCUUGUCUAGAUGCACGAACCCUCCAAAGACAUAUAUCCACCAAGCACUCGUAAGAUACUGUAGUCUUAAUAGAAGUUGGUACAUCAAAAUCAAAUCCAUCCCUUAUCGCAAGAAGUUUGAGUCGAUACUCCAACUUGAAUUUGCUACGGUAUUGUUGGCCUACCGCGAGUGUUAGCGUAGACCACCAUCUUCAAAAGACUAUCGUAAACUGCUCUUUCCGCUUAUAGCUGCACAACUCUACACCCUCUUUCGUCGGGGUUAAAUACGAAUCUCUGUUUCUUUACCCACGAACCGGAAACAACUAUGACCGUAACGGGACCAGCCAUAUCAAGAGAAAGAUGAAAGAAAUUGAAGAUGUAUGAGAAGAUGAAUGAAGAAAAGAAAGUUCCGGUGAUGUUGUAACGUUCAGGCGGUGAACAUAGUCUGGGAAAACGAGUUAAAGAAGCAAGGGACGUUUCGUAUUUCCGUCGAGGAUGCUGACAUGGAAUGAUGACAUGGAUUAUUACAGCCGACGUCGUUUUGAAGUGAUGACGUGGCAAGUCAGCCACCAAACGAACAGUUCAUAACACAGCCAUGAAGCAAAUCUUUAAGUCAGCCGCAACAUGAAUACUAUUACAGUAAUUAAAACAGGAAAAAAAACAAAGUUAAUUCAGCCGUGGUAUGUCGUAACUCAACUAACUCAACCGUAACGUUCAACAACUCGGCCAUAACUGCAUGAUAUUAUAGUAAUUAAUCUUUUGAAAAUAAGUCAGCCAUAACAUGGCUGAGUUAUAUCGUAAUCCAACUAUUAGCGGCUGAUUUAUAACACUCGACCAUAACUCAGCCGUCAUAUCGUUCCAUAACUAAGCUGUUCAAAACUAUAACUCGGCCGUCUCGAGGAAAUAAGUCAGCCUUUUUCUCAUAACUCAGCCAUAGUGUUGGUUGGGUUAUCGUAUAACUUCUUAUAACUCGGCCGACCAUCCUUAACUCAACCAUACCGUUGCCUGAGUUAUACUAUAACUCAGACAAUAUUUUACAACUCAGCCGUAACGUCUGGCUGAGUUAUACUCAUACUUCGCCGUUUUGUUAUGACUCAUAUAUUUUUGUCGUAAGUCAGCCGCAACAUACCGUAACUCAGCCGUAACUGUCGUUGUAUCGCGUUACGGCUGAGUUCAUUUAAUCAACGUCAGCAAAUUCUGACGUGGCAGUGGAAUUCCUUGAAAUUACGUUUUUUCCGGUAACGUUUAGUAGGGGCACGCUGGGUAAUAAAAAAAAUCGAAAAUACAACAGUAAUUAAAAAAAGUUCUGUCGUGUUCUCUUAAUAACACCUAAUUUCUUACCUAUCACAGUUAAUCUCCCUUUAGAAAAAAAAAAAUUGUUCUUAAAAAAGAAAAAAGUAUAAAACCAAAUCUAAACACAAAACCUACCUAGUGAGAGUUCUAACAUCCACGAUUAUCGAGUUAAUACUAGUUGUCAAGUGUAAUAUAUGGACAUUGGCAUCAAGUGUCAAACUACGAAGGAUUCGAUUCGAGAUAGAA
This 1532-nucleotide small RNA is filed under the name Arabidopsis thaliana (thale cress). RNAcentral describes it as "ATSL157490". The stretch from base 370 to 498 matches the Rfam family "Small nucleolar RNA snoR9". Lineage: Eukaryota; Viridiplantae; Streptophyta; Magnoliopsida; Brassicales; Brassicaceae. The record is from RNAcentral.